This 70-nucleotide transfer RNA is filed under the name Anallacta methanoides. RNAcentral describes it as "tRNA-Leu". Lineage: Eukaryota; Metazoa; Arthropoda; Insecta; Blattodea; Blattellidae. The record is from RNAcentral.
GCUAAUAUGGCAGAUAAGUGCAAUGGAUUUAGAAUCUAUAAAUAUAUAAUUUUGGUUUAUAUAAUUAGUA